This is an RNA transcript of Schistocerca serialis cubense, 3108 nucleotides long. It is a transcript of the gene named thialysine N-epsilon-acetyltransferase-like, with no coding region annotated. Lineage: Eukaryota; Metazoa; Arthropoda; Insecta; Orthoptera; Acrididae. The transcript is spliced from 6 exons. The record is from RefSeq and is a predicted model, not a curated record.
ACUGCUAGCAGCAGCACUCUGCUACAUGGUGAGUAUAUAAUAUUGUUACAUUCCAUCCUGGAUUUUCUAUUGUUUAAAAGUGUUGAAAACUGGGCCAAGCCUGGCUGUAGAAAUCUAAAUUUCACAGUUGGUUGCCAAACCUUUGCAGAUGGUGUCACAUUUUCUUUUUUCUGGGUUGCUGGACACACCUGCAGUGCAAAUCAAUGAAUUGAAGACUCAAGCAGCAAAAGUGGAGCUAGAGAUCUGGUUUCAGAAACUGGGUUUAUAACAUGCAUAAAAAUUAGUACCCAAACUACUAGGGUAGAAGGAAGAAAACCAAGAGUAGAUGGAGAAAUUUAAAUAUCUAGGAGAGUGGAUAGGUUCAAACACCUCCAGAAAGAAGUCUAUGCAUUGUGGAUGAGAAAAAUGGAAGUGAUAUAUCAACUAACCAAAUGUCUAUAAGAAAAAAUUAAUAUCCAUUAAGGCCAAGAUAUGGCAUUACUACACUGUUAUAUAACUGGAUGAUGUAUCCUGUAAAUUUCUUUGUUGUUGUUGUUGUUGUUGUUGUGGUCUUCAGUCCUGAGACUGGUUUGAUGCAGCUCUCCAUGCUAAUCUAUCCUGUGCAAGCUCCUUCAUCUCCCAGUACCUACUGCAACCUACAUCCUUCUGAAUCUGCUUAGUGUAUUCAUCUCUUGGCCUCCCUCUACGAUUUUUACCCUCCACAUUGCCCUCCAAUGCUAAAUUUGUGAUUCCUUGAUGCCUCAGUACAUGUCCUACCAACUGAUCCCUUCUUCUAGUCAAGUUGUGCCACAAACUUCUCUUCUCCCCAAUCCUAUUCAAUACCUCCUCAUUAGCUACGUGAACUACCCACCUAAUCUUCAACAUUCUUCUGUAGCACCACAUUUCGAAAGCUUCUAUUCUCUUCUUGUCCAAACUAUUUAUUGUCCAUGUUUCACUUCCAUACAUGGCUACACUCCAUACAAAUACUUUCAGAAACGACUUUCUGACACUUAAAUCUAUACUCGAUCUUAACAAAUUUCUCUUCUUCAGAAACACUUUCCUUUCCAUUGCCAGUCUACAUUUUAUAUCCUCUCUACUUCGACCAUCAUCAGUUAUUUUGCUCCCCAAAUAGCAAAAUCCCUUUACUACUUUAAGUGUCUCAUUUCCUAAUCUAAUUCCCUCAGCAUCACCCGACUUAAUUCGAUUACAUUCCAUUAUCCUCGUUUUGCUUUUGUUGAUGUUCAUCUUAUAUCCUCCUUUCAAGACACUGUCCAUUCCGUUCAACUGCUUUUCCAAGUCCUUUGCUGUCUCUGACAGAAUUACAAUGUCAUUGGCGAACCUCAAAGUUUUUAUUUCUUCUCCAUGGAUUUUAAUACCUACUCCGAAUUUUUCUUUUGUUUCCUUUGUUAUAGAUAGAAAAGAUCUGAAUGAGGAAUUACAAACAAUAUAAUGGCAGCUUUUGAGAAAAACUUUAGGUCCAUCCAAAGAAAACAGUGAAUUCAGACGACAACAAAACUAUUACUAUACACACAUGUAAACAACAAAACUAUUACUCUACACACAUGUAAACUGACAGAUACCAUUUCUAGGGGAGGUUUAUUUUCUAUGAUAACACUGGUCAUGUGUAUCCUACUGGGUAGAACAAUUGUAUGUUCCACAAUUUCCUGAACAAUACAACCCAAGAGGUGUGGUUCACCAGUGCAUAAAUAUACCUGCAAGAAGUGGGGAUAACACAGGAUAUCCUGAAAUGUAUUUCAUUCAAGAAGAAACUCCAAGAGAACCUUAGUUUCCAAGAAAACACAUAACUAAAAACUGGCAAAACAUGGACUGAAGUGUGGAAGGAACAGCUUAGGAAUGUCAAGUGGAAGUACGAGGCUCAAGUUAAAGUCCAGGCACAAGGAAAAGAAAAAGGAUAGAUGGUUGAAAUGACAAAAAAAAAAAAAAAAAAAAACAUGAAGCUCUCUUACUCAAUUGCAGUGGUAUAAGCUUGCAACACAGCGUCAUAAUAUGAAAUCACUACUUAAUUUCAUCACACAAAAUUGCAUCCAUCAUAAAAGUUUGGAUUUACUUGGGCUAUUCCUUUUGUACAGAACAUUAGUGCAGAAACUCUGAAGCAUAAGGGAAAAAAGACUUCUCUGAAAGCUGGUGAUGUGUAAGUAAAUAACCAUCCACUCACACUGGUGAAAUGAAAACAGUUUUUGUUAACUGAGAUCUUAUACCAUAACAUUUAAGUGUGUGUUUCAUAGUUGUUUUUCAUGAACUUUGUGUCUUUGCAGCCAUCAUCAAAGGCAGCGAGCUGAGUUGUUCACAUCUACAAUAAACAGUGUUGAAGUUGCCACUCCCAGUCUUGUUCUUCAUUUCAUUAUUACAUUUAUACUUUUAUCACCAAGACCUCUCUGUAUAAAUAAAGAUCACAAUGGAAAAUGUGAUAAUAAGGGAGGCAAGGAGAGAAGACUGCAAGGAACUGAGAAGAUUGAUACAGGAGCUUGCUGACUUUGAAGAGAUGCCAGAUGACUGCAAGCUGACAGUAGAGGGACUGGAACGUGAUGGCUUUGAUGCAGUGCCACCACUGUUUCAUUGUUAUGUUGCAGAAGUCAAUACACACAUGAAGGAUAUCAGUGCAACCAAGGAAGAAAAUGUUUCAGAUGUAUUGAAAAUGGGAGACAGCUGUGCAAAGCUUAUUGGACAUGCUUUGUAUUUCUUUUCCUAUUCCUCUCAAAGGGGACGUACAAUUUACUUAGAGGAUAUUUAUGUUACACCUGAGUACAGGGGAUCAAAGCUUGGUUCAGCUCUUUUUGAUAAGGUGGCAAAGAAAAUUCAUCUUGACUCACUGACCAAUUACAAGAGUAAAACAAGGACGAUGUUAGCAAAUCAGCACGAAAUAUUAGUACUACCGUUGAAAUGCCAUCAUAACCAGAAUUACUGCUUUUAAGUGGCCUAUGUGCAUUUGUGAUCUCUUUUACAAUUGAUUAGGAAAAACAGAUGUUUCUGGUGGAAAAGGAAUUGAGACUGGAUGUGUUCAAAUGGACCUUGUUGUACUCAAUUGGAAUCCAGCUCAAAUAUUUUACAAACGAAAAGGUGCAACUGACAUCACUUCUGAGAAAAACUUCAAUUACUACAGUAUUGACA